GAGAGGAACCGAACUGAGGAGAGGGCUCACUCUGAUGUGUUUCCUGAAGAAAGAUCGUCCACUGUGAUAUUCCUGAAGCGAAACAGAGGGCUCACUCUGAUGCGUUUCCCGAGUCUCAGUAAGGCCACUUUACCUUCAGCAGAGAGGGGCGGAGGAGAGAAGAUGGCUCACUCUGAUGUGUUUCCUGAGGCAGCAGAAGAUGUAGACAGAAGCAGCAGGAGGCCCAAACAGACUGAGUCCAUUCUUCACAGAGGCGCAGGGCGCUGAGCACCGAACCGGGCCGGACCGGACCAGGCCAUCCUCACUACUGCAGUCUUUUACAAUAUUACUGACCAGCAGCGUAUUUACGUAGUUUAGAUGGAGGAAGUGUGUAAACGUGGAUGAUGAUGAGGAGAAGGAGAUGAAGGCUGGAGGUGAGUUUUGUCUAACGAAGCACUAAAUUAAUUUAAAAACUGAACUCAAAUACCCUCCGUGUAAUUUUCCUUCUCUGAACCUGAACUUCCUGCAUCAGGAGCCGUCUGCCGCCAACAGAGACCCUGACUGCUACUGCUGGAUUUUAGCACCACAAUCAGCUGCUGGUCUUCCAGAAUGGAAGUGGCCUAAUUAAAGUACGCUGUUUCCUGUGGACUUCAUACUGAUCCAGUUGACGGCACAGAAGUGAGAGCCAGAGGAGGAAACGUUGUGGGUGAGAAAGGUUUUUGGUUCUGGAGGGGAGCGUGGAG
Long non-coding RNA from Xiphophorus maculatus (southern platyfish), 722 nucleotides. RefSeq lists it as uncharacterized. Lineage: Eukaryota; Metazoa; Chordata; Actinopteri; Cyprinodontiformes; Poeciliidae. The transcript has 4 exons. The record is from RefSeq and is a predicted model, not a curated record.